ACACAUGCAGUCGAGCGGUAGCACAGAGAGCUUGCUCUCGGGUGACGAGCGGCGGACGGGUGAGUAAUGUCUGGGAAACUGCCUGAUGGAGGGGGAUAACUACUGGAAACGGUAGCUAAUACCGCAUAAUGUCGCAAGACCAAAGUGGGGGACCUUCGGGCCUCAUGCCAUCAGAUGUGCCCAGAUGGGAUUAGCUAGUAGGUGGGGUAACGGCUCACCUAGGCGACGAUCCCUAGCUGGUCUGAGAGGAUGACCAGCCACACUGGAACUGAGACACGGUCCAGACUCCUACGGGAGGCAGCAGUGGGGAAUAUUGCACAAUGGGCGCAAGCCUGAUGCAGCCAUGCCGCGUGUGUGAAGAAGGCCUUCGGGUUGUAAAGCACUUUCAGCGGGGAGGAAGGCGAUAAGGUUAAUAACCUUGUCGAUUGACGUUACCCGCAGAAGAAGCACCGGCUAACUCCGUGCCAGCAGCCGCGGUAAUACGGAGGGUGCAAGCGUUAAUCGGAAUUACUGGGCGUAAAGCGCACGCAGGCGGUCUGUCAAGUCGGAUGUGAAAUCCCCGGGCUCAACCUGGGAACUGCAUUCGAAACUGGCAGGCUAGAGUCUUGUAGAGGGGGGUAGAAUUCCAGGUGUAGCGGUGAAAUGCGUAGAGAUCUGGAGGAAUACCGGUGGCGAAGGCGGCCCCCUGGACAAAGACUGACGCUCAGGUGCGAAAGCGUGGGGAGCAAACAGGAUUAGAUACCCUGGUAGUCCACGCCGUAAACGAUGUCGAUUUGGAGGUUGUGCCCUUGAGGCGUGGCUUCCGGAGCUAACGCGUUAAAUCGACCGCCUGGGGAGUACGGCCGCAAGGUUAAAACUCAAAUGAAUUGACGGGGGCCCGCACAAGCGGUGGAGCAUGUGGUUUAAUUCGAUGCAACGCGAAGAACCUUACCUGGUCUUGACAUCCACAGAACUUGCCAGAGAUGGCUUGGUGCCUUCGGGAACUGUGAGACAGGUGCUGCAUGGCUGUCGUCAGCUCGUGUUGUGAAAUGUUGGGUUAAGUCCCGCAACGAGCGCAACCCUUAUCCUUUGUUGCCAGCGGUUAGGCCGGGAACUCAAUACGACCAGGGCUACACACGUGCUACAAUGGCAUAUACAAUACGACCAGGGCUACACACGUGCUACAAUGGCAUAUACAAAGAGAAGCGACCUCGCGAGAGCAAGCGGACCUCAUAAAGUAUGUCGUAGUCCGGAUUGGAGUCUGCAACUCGACUCCAUGAAGUCGGAAUCGCUAGUAAUCGUAGAUCAGAAUGCUACGGUGAAUACGUUCCCGGGCCUU
Molecule: ribosomal RNA, 1318 nt
Filed under: Klebsiella quasipneumoniae
Lineage: Bacteria; Pseudomonadati; Pseudomonadota; Gammaproteobacteria; Enterobacterales; Enterobacteriaceae
Description: bacterial SSU rRNA
Rfam family: Bacterial small subunit ribosomal RNA
Source: RNAcentral